UACGAAGGGGGCUAGCGUUGCUCGGAAUCACUGGGCGUAAAGCGCACGUAGGCGGAUCGCUAAGUCAGGGGUGAAAUCCUGGAGCUCAACUCCAGAACUGCCUUUGAUACUGAAGAUCUUGAGUUCGGGAGAGGUGAGUGGAACUGCGAGUGUAGAGGUGAAAUUCGUAGAUAUUCGCAAGAACACCAGUGGCGAAGGCGGCUCACUGGCCCGAUACUGACGCUGAGGCACGAAAGCGUGGGGAGCAAACAGG
RNAcentral lists this ribosomal RNA (253 nucleotides) under uncultured bacterium. Its description in RNAcentral is "partial 16S ribosomal RNA". It matches the Rfam family "Bacterial small subunit ribosomal RNA", at positions 524 to 776 of the family's 1533-position model. The record is from RNAcentral.